RNAcentral lists this ribosomal RNA (492 nucleotides) under uncultured bacterium. RNAcentral's name for it is "partial 16S ribosomal RNA". It matches the Rfam family "Bacterial small subunit ribosomal RNA", at positions 29 to 507 of the family's 1533-position model. The record is from RNAcentral.
AGUGAACGCUGGCGGUAGGCCUAACACAUGCAAGUCGAACGGCAGCACAGUAAGAGCUUGCUCUUACGGGUGGCGAGUGGCGGACGGGUGAGGAAUACAUCGGAAUCUACUUUUUCGUGGGGGAUAACGUAGGGAAACUUACGCUAAUACCGCAUACGACCUACGGGUGAAAGCAGGGGAUCUUCGGACCUUGCGCGAUUGAAUGAGCCGAUGUCGGAUUAGCUAGUUGGCGGGGUAAAGGCCCACCAAGGCGACGAUCCGUAGCUGGUCUGAGAGGAUGAUCAGGCACACUGGAACUGAGGCACGGUCCAGACUCCUACGGGAGGCAGCAGUGGGGAAUAUUGGACAAAGGGCGCAAGGCUGAACCCGCCAGACCGCAGAGGGGAAAAAGGACUUCGGGUUGUAAAGCCCUUUUGUUAGGAAAGAAAAGCAGCAGGUUUAUACCCCGCUGUUCUGACGGUACCCAAAGAAUAAGCACCGGCUGACUUCGUG